GAUUUGUCUGGUUGAUUCCGAUAACGAACGAGACUCUGGCCUGCUAAAUAGGAGGCUGAUCAUCUCAGUCAGCCGACACUUCUUAGAGGGACAGGCGGUCUUUAUCCGCACGAGAUUGAGCAAUAACAGGUCUGUGAUGCCCUUAGAUGUCCGGGGCCGCACGCGCGCUACACUGAAGGAAUCAGCGUGUGCUUGCCCCUGUCCGACAGGACUGGGUAACCCGCUGAACCUCCUUCGUGAUGGGGAUAGGGGCUUGUAAUUGUUCCCCUUGAACGAGGAAUUCCCAGUAAGCGCGAGUCAUAAGCUCGCGUUGAUUACGUCCCUGCCCUUUGUACACACCGCCCGUCGCUACUACCGAUUGAAUGAUUUAGUGAGGUCUUCGGACCUGCAGCCGUCGCGGCCUCGUGCCUGCAACGGUUCGCGGGGAAGAUGACCAAACUUGAUCAUUUAGAGGAAGUAAAAGUCGUAACAAGGUUUCCGUAGGU
Molecule: ribosomal RNA, 485 nt
Filed under: Pseudopallene spinipes
Lineage: Eukaryota; Metazoa; Arthropoda; Pycnogonida; Pantopoda; Callipallenidae
Description: SSU rRNA
Rfam family: Eukaryotic small subunit ribosomal RNA
Source: RNAcentral